UACUGGGGGAGCAAGCGUUGUUCGGAUUUACUGGGCGUAAAGGGCGCGUAGGCGGCGUAACAAGUCACUUGUGAAAUCUCCGGGCUUAACUCGGAGCGGUCAAGUGAUACUGUUGUGCUAGAGUGCGGAAGGGGCUACUGGAAUUCUCGGUGUAGCGGUGAAAUGCGUAGAUAUCGAGAGGAACACCUGCGGCGAAGGCGGGUAGCUGGGCCGACACUGACGCUGAUGCGCGAAAGCCAGGGGAGCGAACGGG
This 253-nucleotide ribosomal RNA is filed under the name uncultured bacterium. RNAcentral describes it as "partial 16S ribosomal RNA". It matches the Rfam family "Bacterial small subunit ribosomal RNA", at positions 524 to 776 of the family's 1533-position model. The record is from RNAcentral.